GGGCCCGACCGGAUUUGACAGCGGGACGAGGUGGUGCGUAAGCACGCAGUGCGCCUGAGGGUGGGCACUUUAAUAUCGGCCUUCAACAAUUUAACUGGCGAAAACAAUUAUGCUCUCGCUGCUUGAUCGAAGUAUAGUACAUCAAAGCUUUAUCCGUUCACGGCGUGAGCGGACGAGACAUCACUCCGAAGCUCUUUUUCCGAAGCUCGCGGGCAUAGUGGUGCAGACAAAUCGGGAAUAGUUGCGAUUGGCCUCGCAAGCGCGGCGAAAAUUUAGAGGAUAAGGUGGCGUAAGAGUUGCUCUGCACUCAGCGUUGCUCGAAAACAAUGGCAGAGAUAAGCGUGUAGAAAGCGUAUGAUUUCCCCGUUUGGACGAGGGUUCGAUCCCCUCCGGGUCCACGC
This is a non-coding RNA of 401 nucleotides. It matches the Rfam family "transfer-messenger RNA". From Rfam's summary of the family: Bacterial tmRNA, also known as 10Sa RNA or SsrA, is named for its dual tRNA and mRNA-like properties. Its role is to liberate the mRNA from a stalled ribosome. The record is from Rfam.